RNAcentral lists this ribosomal RNA (2255 nucleotides) under Triticum aestivum (bread wheat). Its description in RNAcentral is "partial small subunit ribosomal RNA". The record is from RNAcentral. Lineage: Eukaryota; Viridiplantae; Streptophyta; Magnoliopsida; Poales; Poaceae.
GGGUUUGUAAAUGCAUGAGGAUGGUUUGUGGCGAGGACAUUGGACAUAAGUGGCACGACCGACCGGUAAAAACUGUGCCUUCACGCAAUGGCUGUGGUGGUCGGAGGGGCGUAUAUUUUUUUCGAGGCUCUAGUUUAAGGGGGGUUGGCGUCUGGUGGUACCGUCAGAGGUUCGAGCGGCGGCACAGAGAUGACGACGAAAGCCGGAGCGAGCGCCGGCACGACGAGGAGGCGGGGAGGCCGCGUCUGCUGCCGCCGCGGGGCACCCCGCGCCCGUCGCCGCCGUAGGAGUGGCGGGACGGCAAGUCGGGGCGCCUGCAGGACGGGGAGGACGGCUCCGCGCAGCGCUACCGCCGGGAGGCACGCGAGGCGCCGCGCAGCCUGUAGAAGGGCCACAAGCACCCGCGCCGCUGCCGGCCCGGCCGCGUCCGCCCGUGGCGCGGCCACCCGACCUUUCCUCGGACGAAGAUGCUCUUGCUCCGGACCGACAGGAAGGUGUUGCUGAGGCCGAGGUUCAUGCCGCCGCCGUGCCAGGUGGAGUUCUGUUGCUUUCGUGUAUCGACCUGAACAUACCUAGAAAUACACAAACGAUGAGGCAUGGCACAAUGUACCCUAAUGAUGAAAGAUCCGGCACUCGUAUGGGAACUUUAGUUUCUUACCCUUUCGUUCCGGCUUAUACUGAUGCACUUUGUAUUACCUCACAGGUAGAAGGAGUACGGCAGUCCUUGUUAGCCCUGUGAGUCUCGUGAGACCCUACAAAAGGGAGAAAAGUGUUUAUGACCUACCCCACUCUUACGUUUGGAACGUAAAGAGUUUUUCGUAUACCCACGCUGGAAACUCCUUGCUGGUUUUGGCACCCAAAGUCUUAAUUUAGGACUACUGUAGGUUAGACCUCUAAAAAACCAAAAUAGUUUUUAGGCACCUGCGACCCCACCAAAACUUUGGGAACUCUUCACCCAAUGGCCUCGAAUACGUCCGGUAUGACGUCAAACGGACUCCCUGAGACUUCCUUUCGACACCCAACCUCUUAGACCAGUACUUUUACUCCUCCCUCUUCUAUAAUAACGACAGAACGGUACCCUUCUUACCACCCUCAAACUUUGCUGUUUCCUACUAAGCUUAGGAGUCUAACGUAACGAAGGUAAUGCAGUUCUAAAUGCUCGUUUUAAAUUACUCUGUCGUCGAACCUAAAUACGCUUCUUUUACUUACCCUUCGGAAUACCCAUAGUAUUAUACUAAAAGUCAACCUAGCUAUGAUAUUCAUUGUUGAUAGGUGGUGGUAACCUACGAGUGCACCAACGUAGACAAUACUGACACACCUUGUUCGAAGUUGGUCUGAUGCGCCGAUCGUACACCUGUCUUCGGGAAUUGUUCGCCGACCCUUGCUUCCCAGAACUAGAUGGACUUUAGUAUCACCUUAGUCUCUUUGCACCCUACUGUAAACUGUUUAACGACUGUUAAGGACUCUUUCUAUUAACCCAGAUGUGACUACCGGUUAGUCGUAGAACACACCGGAUGCAGGAGUACUACAUGUUCCUCCGACCUGAGAAACUUGGUUAAAGGUCGAGAUAUCUUCAGUGCCUCAAGUGCUAUUUUCUACGAAUGUAGGACUUGAAGAAACUUCGGUUGUACUGUGCCGAAGGCAGCACCACGUUGUUUCUGCUGUGACACUUCGAGGGCAAAACGGUUUAGUUCCCGUCUAUAGCUUACCUUGACGGUCCUAUGUUACGGUACCUUGGUAUGCGAGUGUACUUACUUUCCACACGUAGCGACGGGGGCCUGAUGGACUCCCUACUCUUGACGACUCAUGAGUAUAAAUUGGCACGCGGGUACGCUAAACUAACAUGAGGGAAAAUCAGUCAUGAAGUCGACAUGUAUAGUGCCAUCCAGACCUUAUAAAGGGUACUACGUGCGGCCGAACGGUGCUCCAUGCUAGUUGAAGGAGCUUAUUCCGGUGCCACCGUGUUAACAUAUCAUUUUUUCGAGACGUAGACCGCGCGUCGACGACAGUACAAGACUUUUGUAAGUAUCACAAAAACGGUCUUUUAUCUAUGUGCAAACUGUUUCUACAUACACGUGGCAACAUAAGUCGACUAAUCUUUACCAACCUUUGGAUACAUGUGAUACAUCUUCACGAUAAACCAAACCGAGCAUAACAAGUUAACGGUAGGAUACUCGCCACAUUUUCGAGGUUCAACUUAACAACCAAACGACAAAACAGCAUUAACUAUGUAGUUGCAUGUUACACUAACAUAA